UACGUAGGGGCAAGCGUUGUCCGGAUUCAUUGGGCGUAAAGAGCACGCAGGCGGUUUGGCAAGUCGGAUGUGAAAACCAGAAGCUCAACUUCUGGCCUGCAUCCGAUACUGCCCGACUAGAGGUAGGUAGGGGAGAUCGGAAUUCCUGGUGUAGCGGUAAAUGCGCAGAUAUCAGGAGGAACACCGGUGGCGAAGGCGGGAUCUCUGG
Molecule: ribosomal RNA, 208 nt
Filed under: uncultured bacterium
Lineage: Bacteria
Description: partial 16S ribosomal RNA
Rfam family: Bacterial small subunit ribosomal RNA
Source: RNAcentral